This 433-nucleotide ribosomal RNA is filed under the name uncultured bacterium. RNAcentral describes it as "partial 16S ribosomal RNA". It matches the Rfam family "Bacterial small subunit ribosomal RNA", at positions 29 to 507 of the family's 1533-position model. The record is from RNAcentral.
AACGAACGCUGGCGGCAUGCCUAACACAUGCAAGUCGAACGAGACCUUCGGGUAUAGUGGCGAACGGGUGCGUAACGCGUGGGAACCUGCCCUUAGGUUCGGAAUAACUACCCGAAAGGGGUGCUAAUACCGGAUAAUGUCUUCGGACCAAAGAUUUAUCGCCUUUGGAUGGGCCCGCGUUGGAUUAGCUAGUUGGUAGGGUAAAAGCCUACCAAGGCGACGAUCCAUAGCUGGUCUGAGAGGAUGAUCAGCCACACUGGGACUGAGACACGGCCCAGACUCCUACGGGAGGCAGCAGUGGGGAAUAUUGGACAAUGGGCGAAAGCCUGAUCCAGCAAUGCCGCGUGAGUGAUGAAGGCCUUAGGGUUGUAAAGCUCUUUUACCCGGGAUGAUAAUGACAGUACCGGGAGAAUAAGCUCCGGCUAACUCCGUG